RNAcentral lists this unclassified non-coding RNA (473 nucleotides) under Actinomadura hibisca. Lineage: Bacteria; Bacillati; Actinomycetota; Actinomycetes; Streptosporangiales; Thermomonosporaceae. The record is from RNAcentral.
AAGGAGCACCAACUGGUUCCGCCGCCUCACUCGUGAGGGACGGAAUCGGUGGCUGCCAUUGACGGCGAAUGUUCGUCAGGCGGCUGCUCAUAGAUGUGGAGCACUGGCUACUCAGUGCAGAGGGUUUCUGACCUCGCUAGUACUGUCACCGCUUGCGGUGGCGUGGAACGGGAGUUGAUGGGACUGUCUGCGCUGGACACGCUGUUGGGUCCUGAGGAAACGGACCCUUCAGCCCCUGAACAUUCGCCUUCACGGUGGGUGUGAUGGGGCUGGGUUGUUUCUUCUGGAUCGCGGGACCAGAUUCUGGUGCGGCGCGAGCUGUAUCCGGUCUGGUGGGCCCGGUUGUUUUUUGAGAACUACACAGUGGACGCGAGCAUCUCUGACGAGACUCUCCAGGGAAACGUUGUUUUCUUGGGCUGGUCGGUCUUUGGCCGGUUUGUCUCGUCUCUGUUGCGAUUUGUUUGAUCGUUUGU